AUGGUUGUUUCCCUUGCGGGGAGGCGUUCUGAUGAGCUCGUCAGCGAAAUCUCUCAUGUCUGGGGAACUGCAGCUCAGAUUUUAGGCAUCAUGGUCUCAGAGGGUAUGAUUGACAAAGCCAAGUUUGAUUCUUUGUACAUACCGGUAUAUGGACCUUCCCUUAAGGAGCUGAGAGAGAUCAUCCAAGAAGAGGGCUCCUUCUCAAUCACAGAAAUGCGGGUGCACGAACCUGCAAGCGGCAUGGAUAGUGCGCUCCUCACCCCAAACAGGAUAGCAAAUUGUAUGAGAGCUGCAUUCGAGCCAAUAAUAGUCCAGCAUUUUGGGUCGUCCGGAUAG
This 336-nucleotide ribosomal RNA is filed under the name Triticum aestivum (bread wheat). Its description in RNAcentral is "partial small subunit ribosomal RNA". Lineage: Eukaryota; Viridiplantae; Streptophyta; Magnoliopsida; Poales; Poaceae. The record is from RNAcentral.